Molecule: long non-coding RNA, 1190 nt
Filed under: Homo sapiens (human)
Lineage: Eukaryota; Metazoa; Chordata; Mammalia; Primates; Hominidae
Description: HSALNT0127237
Source: RNAcentral
AUUUUCUUGUUAUUAUUUGCUUAUUUGUUUUCAGAGACAGGGUCUCACUCUGUCAACCAGCCUGGAGUGCAGUUUGCCAGGAACUCAGCUCACUGCAACCUCCACCUCUGGGGCUCAACUGAUUCUCCUACCUCAGCCUCCCGAGUACCUGGGACUACAGGCAUGUGCCACCAUGCACGGCUAUGUUUCUUUGUUUUGUUUUGUUUUUAGAGAUAGAGCUGUACCAUGUUGCCCAGGCUGAUCUCAAACUCAUGGGCUCAAGUGAUCCACCAGCCUUGUGGGCUCAACUGAUCCACCAGCCUUCGCCUCCAAAGUGUUGAGAUUACAGGCGUGAGCCACCACACCCAGCCUGAAAUGUUUUCAUCUUUAUCUAUGCCUUGAUCUCCACAACUCCUCUCCUGCAAUGCAUAUUUAAAGUACUUGCUACUUCAAGAGGAAGUAUGCAACCCACAUUCCUUGCUAAAAGGAAAAAGAAGAUAAGGAAAACUAGACACUGACAGGAUUGUAUGAGUCUUUAUAAACCUCAUAAGAAGCACAGGUGAUGGAAAUUAGAGUCCUGCUUAAAAAAUACAGAUGUUCUGGAAUAUCAAGCAACAAUUUCAAGCUUUCACACUUCUGGAUUGAAACACAGUUUAAAGAGGGAAUAAAAACCUGAAGAAAGAGCCACAGGACUGGACUGAGCUAAGGCAUGUUAAUAGCCAUGUUCUAGAGAAACGAUCUAUGAACUCCUCUGCUGAGGUCCCCACACCUGUCCUUGUUCUCUUUCUUCCCGAGGCUGAGUGUCUUUCCUGCUGUUCUGUGAUGCUUUUGCAACACUAAUGAAUAAAUCUCUCUCCAGGAAUUGUUUUCUUUUUCAUGAAACACCUCUCUCCUCCCUUAUCUCACCACAAAAAAGUAAAAAAAUAAAAGAAUAUUUAAUGUUCAGAAUCCACAAGUUAUUGAAACAAAGCUCCUUAUACAUUUCUCUCUUACCAUCAAGAAGUUCGCUAGCACUUUAUUCCUUAUUUUUAAUAAAUAUAUUAAUAUUAUGAGUCACCUUGAAUCUUUAUUGGAAAUAAGUUUUCCAUUCUGGAUUACUUAUAAUGAUCAAAGGCUGAAAACAGGGUUUGAGAUCUGUCAAACACUAUUUAAUGAUCAGCUAAGAAACAGAAGAUUCAUUUAAAAGAGUUUUGCUGAGUGUCUAUGUUAUG